RNAcentral lists this ribosomal RNA (429 nucleotides) under Pseudomonadota bacterium. Its description in RNAcentral is "Proteobacteria bacterium partial 16S ribosomal RNA". It matches the Rfam family "Bacterial small subunit ribosomal RNA", at positions 355 to 776 of the family's 1533-position model. The record is from RNAcentral. Lineage: Bacteria; Pseudomonadati; Pseudomonadota.
UGGGGAAUAUUGGACAUUGGGCGAAAGCCUGAUCCAGCCAUGCCGCGUGUGUGAAGAAGGUCUUCGGAUUGUAAAGCACUUUAAGUUGGGAGGAAGGGCAGUAAGCGAAUACCUUGCUGUUUUGACGUUACCGACAGAAUAAGCACCGGCUAACUCUGUGCCAGCAGCCGCGGUAAUACAGAGGGUGCAAGCGUUAAUCGGAAUUACUGGGCGUAAAGCGCGCGUAGGUGGUUCGUUAAGUUGAAUGUGAAAGCCCCGGGCUCAACCUGGGAACUGCAUCCAAAACUGGCGAGCUAGAGUAGGGCAGAGGGUGGUGGAAUUUCCUGUGUAGCGGUGAAAUGCGUAGAUAUAGGAAGGAACACCAGUGGCGAAGGCGACCACCUGGGCUCAUACUGACACUGAGGUGCGAAAGCGUGGGGAGCAAACAGG